Molecule: long non-coding RNA, 949 nt
Organism: Physella acuta
Lineage: Eukaryota; Metazoa; Mollusca; Gastropoda; Physidae
Source: RefSeq, a predicted model, not a curated record
UGUCUAAAAAAAAGUGUUGAACGCCACACGAAAACAAAAGAAAAGGCGUAAUAUCAGCGUUGUGGCUGAGAACUAAACACGUGUUUUGAGAGGCAACACCCCCACAAUGGACGUCAGAGGAGGUUCCCAUUUCAAUUGUGAGGGGGCAAACUGUAGAGAGGCCGGUGAGAUUCUGGAUAAAGACAAAGGGUUUUUCUUUGCCUCUAAGCAGAGUACAUACGUGAUCCUGUUCUACCUGAUCCUGGCGCCGGUCAUCAUGGCGUUUCUGUUCUGCUGCUAGAGCUGGUACGAGAAGGCGUGCGAGGACUGCGAUGACAGGGAGUCUAAGCUGAUGAUGCAGGCCGUGCCCAACUACAAACUCAAGUACGAGUGUUGUAAGAAAAAUGUCGCACCUAUCUUGUUCCCCAUCCAGCCAGACUUUGACUUCAAGCACCACUGUGGACAAAAUUGUUUGGGUCCCAAUAAGGUGCAGGCACCCAGGUACAUCUGAACAUCUGUACACAUCUUCGGUGUGAACAUCUAGACAUCUGAACAUCUGGUCUAUGUCAACAUCUAGACAUCUCAACAUCUGGUCUAUGUCAACAUCCAGACAUCUCAACAUCCGGUUUAUGUCAACAUCCAGACACCUAAACAUCUAGACACCUCAACAUCUGAUCUAUGUCAACAUCUAGACACCUAAACAUCUGGUCUAUGUCAACAUCUAGACACCUAAACAUCUGGUUUAUGUCAACAUCUAGACACCUCAACACGUGUUAUAUUUGAAUAACUAAACAGCCUGAUUAUUUAAGCCUAUACCAUCGUUAAAUUAUGUAUUUUUUAAACACAAAAUGUUCUCAUUCGUUCAACGCGCCAUUAACAAAAUAUUUUUAAAACAUCGAUUGUUAGAAAUCUAAAAAAAAAUGUAUAUUUUCGUAUCAAGUCUUACAAUAAUUUUUCUUGAUAAAUAUUU